This 253-nucleotide ribosomal RNA is filed under the name uncultured bacterium. Its description in RNAcentral is "partial 16S ribosomal RNA". It matches the Rfam family "Bacterial small subunit ribosomal RNA", at positions 524 to 776 of the family's 1533-position model. The record is from RNAcentral.
UACAGAGGUCUCAAGCGUUGUUCGGAUUCAUUGGGCGUAAAGGGCGCGUAGGCUGCGGGGUAAGUCGGGUGUGAAAUCUCAGGGCUCAACCCUGAAACUGCACUCGAUACUGCUCUGCUUGAGGACUGGAGAGGAGACUGGAAUUCACGGUGUAGCAGUGAAAUGCGUAGAUAUCGUGAGGAAGACCAGUGGCGAAGGCGGGUCUCUGGACAGUUCCUGACGCUGAGGCGCGAAGGCCAGGGGAGCAAACGGG